CAACAACGGAUCUCUUGGCUUUNGCAUCGAUGAAGAACGCCGCGAAAGUGCGAAACGUAAUGUGAAUUGCAGAAUUCAGUGAAUCAUCGAAUCUUUGAACGCAUCUUGCGCUCCUUGGUAUUCCGAGGAGCAUGCCUGUUUGAGCGUCGUGUGUAGAAACUCAAGCGCCCCCUUUUUAGGUUGGGGGCUUGGACUUGGACGUCUGCGGCAAGGUGGGCUUUUGCCUCCGGCCGCUCGUCUUCAAACGCAUCAGCUGGUCCCUCAUAGUCGGUUCAACGACGGUGUGAUAAUAGACGCUCUGUUGACUGNGGCGCCGUCCGUUGCCGAUUUGGCCUGGCUCACAGCCGUCCCGAAAGGGACAACACCUGCGACAUCUGACCUCAAAUCAGGUAGGACUACCCGCUGAACUUAAGCAUAUCAAUAAGCGGAGGAAAAGAAACUAACAAGGAUUCCCCUAGUAACGGCGAGUGAAGCGGGAAGAGCUCAAAUUUGAAAUCUGGCGGCCUUUGGUCGUCCGUA
This 519-nucleotide ribosomal RNA is filed under the name uncultured Gomphus. RNAcentral's name for it is "eukaryotic LSU rRNA". The stretch from base 1 to 149 matches the Rfam family "5.8S ribosomal RNA". Lineage: Eukaryota; Fungi; Basidiomycota; Agaricomycetes; Gomphales; Gomphaceae. The record is from RNAcentral.